Molecule: ribosomal RNA, 509 nt
Filed under: uncultured glomeraceous AM fungus
Lineage: Eukaryota; Fungi; Glomeromycota; Glomeromycetes; Glomerales; Glomeraceae
Description: SSU rRNA
Rfam family: Eukaryotic small subunit ribosomal RNA
Source: RNAcentral
AGCAGCCGCGGUAAUUCCAGCUCCAAUAGCGUAUAUUAAAGUUGUUGCGGUUAAAAAGCUCGUAGUUGAAUUUCGGGGUUAGUAGAUUGGUCAUGCCUCUGGUAUGUACUGGUCUCACUGAUUCCUCCUUCCUGAUGAUCCGUAAUGCCAUUAAUUUGGUGUUGCGGGGAAUUUGGACUGUUACUUUGAAAAAAAUUAGAGUGUUUAAAGCAAGCUAACGCUUGAAUACAUUAGCAUGGAAUAAUGAAAUAGGACGUUCGAUCCUAUUUUGUUGGUUUCUAGGAUUGACGUAAUGAUUAAUAGGGAUAGUUGGGGGCAUUAGUAUUCAAUUGUCAGAGGUGAAAUUCUUGGAUUUAUUGAAGACUAACUACUGCGAAAGCAUUUGCCAAGGAUGUUUUCAUUAAUCAAGAACGAAAGUCAGGGGAUCGAAGACGAUCAGAUACCGUCGUAGUCUUAACCAUAAACUAUGCCGACUAGGGAUCGGAUGAUGUUAAUUUUUUAAUGACUCA